GAGAUGAGAAGAAGAAUUUGAGGGGAAAGAAAAGAAGAAAAUGUGUGGAGAUGUGUGUUCCCCCCUAUUUAUACUAAUACAAGAUUAAUCAACACCACAUAAAUAAAUAAAAUUAAUUACAUCUUAGCCUUACAUUUGUCCCACUAAUAAAACAUAAACCUAAUUUAAUCCACUCAAGCACGUCCAACACAUUCCAUUAACAAUUACAAUACCUAACAUAGUAAAAACUUAUAAUUUCACAAGUACCACAUUUUUAAUUUUCAAACUUAUAAAUUUACAACAAAAGUGGCGGAUCCUCCUUGACAAUGACAUAAUUUCUCAGACUUUCAGAAUCCAAAUUUGACAUCUGUACAUUUGUUUGGAGCCUUAAAUUGUGUGAAAUUAUUAUUUUUACCUAAUAAACAUACAAAAAUACACAAAAUCAAUAUUUAAAAAAUAAUUAAAAAUUCAUAAUAUGUUACAUAAUUACAAAGGUAAAUUAUAUUAUAAGCACAAAAUAACAUUUUUACUCCUUAAUAAGCAUACAAUUUUUAACACUAGUCAGUGGUGCAUCUGUCCCACAUAAGUUUUUCUCUUCAAUCUAAUGCUCCGAAGUAAAAUUUUAACUCAUUCAAGUGUUUCGACAAGUGCAAUGCGGAGAGGACAGUGGCGAUAGUGGAGUUGUAGUGCAAGAUCCCGACAAGAUGAGCAGCAUUUAUAGAGGACACGUUUGUUAUCUGCCAGCCUGUCCACAAAUGUAUCCACUGCUUAAGCCGCCAUUGCCUUGUGCUGCGCCUGCUUCAUGGAACACAUGGCGAAAAACGCCUUGAUACCGACCUUCAGGUGACGAGGAUAUGGUGUCUCGUGGCAAUGGUGUUGCACAAUGGGGUGGUGGUGGAGCAGGGUGUUGCAUGGCAGAGGAAGAUGACGUGGUGGUGGAGCGUCUUGUUCAUGAGAGAGAAGAGAGAAUGAAAAAGUCAAACUCGAGGGUUAUUGCAAACCCAUAUAAACUCAUGAGAGGGGUCGCAUUUAAUUUAUGCGGGUGUUACUAUAUUAUAAUUUAGUCUAAUACAAUACCUAAUAAAGCCCAAACAUGAUAUAGUAUUAAUAUAAUACAAUACAUACUCUUAAGGUGUGUUUGACACACUGUAUUGUAUUAUACUGUAUUGCAUUAGCACUAUAUUAUAACAAUAUUAUACAAUGUUUGGUGCUAUACUGUACUGUAUUAAUUUUUAAUUAUGUUAUAUUGUACUGUAUUAAUUUUUUGUGAUUAAUUUAAAUUAUAUGUUAU
Molecule: long non-coding RNA, 1270 nt
Filed under: Citrus x clementina
Lineage: Eukaryota; Viridiplantae; Streptophyta; Magnoliopsida; Sapindales; Rutaceae
Description: Citrus clementina (C. clementina) long non-coding RNA (CCLE_LNC005350)
Source: RNAcentral